Molecule: ribosomal RNA, 45 nt
Filed under: Naegleria sp. NGES9
Lineage: Eukaryota; Heterolobosea; Eutetramitea; Acrasida; Naegleriidae
Description: partial 28S ribosomal RNA
Source: RNAcentral
AACUGGCCUCUAAUGUGAGAGAGGACCCCCCGGAUUUAUGCAUAU